This 308-nucleotide unclassified non-coding RNA is filed under the name Hevea brasiliensis (rubber tree). The record is from RNAcentral. Lineage: Eukaryota; Viridiplantae; Streptophyta; Magnoliopsida; Malpighiales; Euphorbiaceae.
CUCACAUGAAGCAAAUUUUAUGUAUCCUUCCAUCUUCCUUUCCAUUGGUUGCCCAUUCAUUUUGAUGUCAUUUAAGUUCUCAAUGAAUUUAUUGAAAAAAAUAUUGUGCCUGGUAAGAGAUGCAGGAAUAUUUUCCAAUGGAUUUAAAGGCAUGCAAUCAACAUCCAUGACAAAUUCAACCCCUAGUUCAGGUUGGUCAAACUGAACUCGGCACCUGCUAUGAUCAACAGUAAGUACACUUCCAUCAUGAAUUUCUCUCGUUUUUGGAUGAAGAGCAAUAAUACGUUGUCCAACGGAUAAGGGCCGAG